RNAcentral lists this ribosomal RNA (305 nucleotides) under uncultured bacterium. RNAcentral describes it as "bacterial SSU rRNA". It matches the Rfam family "Bacterial small subunit ribosomal RNA", at positions 338 to 644 of the family's 1533-position model. The record is from RNAcentral.
CCUACGGGAGGCAGCAGUGGGGAAUAUUGCACAAUGGGGGGAACCCUGAUGCAGCGACGCCGCGUGGGUGAAGGAGCACCUCGGUGCGUAAAGCCCUAUCGGCAGGGAAGAAAAGCGAACAGGUUCGCCUGGACGGUACCUGACUAAGAAGCCCCGGCUAACUACGUGCCAGCAGCCGCGGUAAUACGUAGGGGGCAAGCGUUAUCCGGAUUUACUGGGUGUAAAGGGGGCGCAGACGGCGAUGCAAGCCAGGAGUGAAAGCCCGGGGCCCAACCCCGGGACUGCUCUUGGAACUGCGUGGCUGG